This 614-nucleotide long non-coding RNA is filed under the name Phascolarctos cinereus (koala). RNAcentral's name for it is "lncRNA (ENSPCIG00000035431.1)". The record is from RNAcentral. Lineage: Eukaryota; Metazoa; Chordata; Mammalia; Diprotodontia; Phascolarctidae.
GACGCGGAUGGGCUCAUGAGCUUUUCCUACAGGCGGGCUUAGAGAGAAGGGGGUCGGGGCGGAGCAGCCCCCCACUCAUUCCGCAUGGCCGAAGCACCUACUGUGUGCCCGGGGGCGCUAAGCUCCAGAGCGCCCCCAGACUGGCCCCGAGGGCCGCGGGCGACUUCCGGUGGGAAAUUCCCCGGGGAUGGGCUGCCCCCCCCCACCAGCAGAGCGCGGUCCGGGGUCACAGGCGGCUGGGCCAGGCUGCCCCCACCCCGGGACGCUGGAGGCUGAGAGGAGGGGCGAGGCGCCCGCCAGGGGGGGGCGGAAGACUCCCACAGCUAGCCUCAGACAGCGACUCCGCACCCCACGGGAAGGGAGAAGACAGAGCUCUGGAGUGAAGGAGAGCCAGACCGCCUUCCUCAUCCCAGCAGCCCCCCAGGGAUGGCUGCCUGAGCGAGAUGGUGCCCCAAGCUCCUGAGGGCCAGGGAUUGUGAAGUGCUGGGCCUCAGCAUCUGCCAGGAUCAUUGAAGGGUGAAGACACCCGCCUCAGUAUCUGGAAGAUCAGAGUUCAAAUCUGCCUUAGACACUGCCUAGCUUUGGGAUCCUGGGAAAGUCGUUUAAGCUCUGGA